RNAcentral lists this long non-coding RNA (1124 nucleotides) under Durio zibethinus. RNAcentral's name for it is "long non-coding RNA (DZIB_LNC000983)". Lineage: Eukaryota; Viridiplantae; Streptophyta; Magnoliopsida; Malvales; Malvaceae. The record is from RNAcentral.
GUAGCUGAACUUUCUGCUGCUCAAGAGGAGUUGGCACUUUCUAAGUCACUAGUGUUGGAUUCGGAGCAAAGGCUUAAUUCAAAAGAAGCUCUUAUUAAUGAACUGACUGAAGAGUUGAACCUGCAAAAGGCUUCAGAAUCCAAGGUGAAGGAAGAUAUCUCAACUCUUGAGAAUAUUUUUACUGCAACUAAAGAAGAUCUUCAAGCAAAGGUUUCUGAGUUGGAAGAUAUGAAGCUGAAACUGGACGAGCAAGUGAAAGCAAGGGAAUUGGUUGAAGCUGGGCUGAAGGCCCAACAAGAACAGGUCUCGAUUGUACAGGAAGAAUUAAGUAAAGUACUAAAGGAAAAAGAAGAUCAGAUGGCCUCCCUGAAGGAAGAAGUGAAGGGCCUGAAUGAGAAGGUUGCUGAAAAUCAGAAGGUCGAUGAAGUACUUCAAAGCACAAUAGCUGAACUUUCUGCUGCUCGGGAGGAGUUGGCACUUUCUAAAUCACUAGUAUUGGAUUGGGAGCAAAGGCUUAAUUCAAAAGAAGCUCUUAUUAAUGAACUGACUGAAGAGUUGGACCUAAAAAGGGCUUCAGAAUCCAAGGUGAAGGAAGAUAUCUCAACUCUCGAGAAUAUUUUUACUGCAACUAAAGAAGAUCUUCAAGCAAAGGUUUCUGAGUUGGAAGAUAUGAAGCUGAAACUGGACGAGGAAGUGAAAGCAAGGGAAUUGGUUGAAGCUGGGCUGAAGGCCCAACAAGAACAGGUCUCGAUUGUACAGGAAGAAUCAAGUAAAGUACUAAAGGAAAAAGAAGAUCAGAUGGCCUCCCUGAAGGAAGAAGUGAAGGGCCUGAAUGAGAAGGUUGCUGAAAGUCAGAAGGUCGAUGAAGCACUUCAAAGCACAAUAGCUGAACUUUCUGCUGCUCGGGAGGAGUUGGCACUUUCUAAAUCACUAGUACUGAAUUUGGAGAAAAGACUAAAUUCAAAAGGAGCUCUUAUUAAUGAACUGACUGAAGAGUUGGACCUGAAAAAGGCUUCAGAAUCCAAGGUGAAGGAAGAUAUCUCAACUCUUGAGAAUAUUUUUACUGCAACUAAAGAAGAUCUUCAAGCAAAGGUUUCUGAGUUGGAAGUUAUCAAGCAUAAACU